Long non-coding RNA from Homo sapiens (human), 3655 nucleotides. Ensembl annotates it as long intergenic non-protein coding RNA 665. The record is from Ensembl. NCBI's taxonomy places the organism in Eukaryota, Metazoa, Chordata, Mammalia, Primates, Hominidae.
AGCCCGCCCUCCCAUUUCCGGAAGCCUGGCGCAAGGUUGGUCUGCAGGUGGCCUCCAGGUGCAAAGUGGGAAGUGUGAGUCCUCAGUCUUGGGCUAUUCGGCCACGUGCCUGCCGGACAUGGGACGCUGGAGGGUCAGCAGCGUGGAGUCCUGGCCUUUUGCGUCCACGGGUGGGAAAUUGGCCAUUGCCACGGCGGGAACUGGGACUCAGGCUGCCCCCCGGCCGUUUCUCAUCCGUCCACCGGACUCGUGGGCGCUCGCACUGGCGCUGAUGUAGUUUCCUGACCUCUGACCCGUAUUGUCUCCAGAUUAAAGGUACGACAUUUGGAGGCCCCAGCGAGAAACGUCACCGGGAGAAACGUCACCGGGCGAGAGCCGGGCCCGCUGUGUGCUCCCCCGGAAGGACAGCCAGCUUGUAGGGGGGAGUGCCACCUGAAAAAAAAAUUUCCAGGUCCCCAAAGGGUGACCGUCUUCCGGAGGACAGCGGAUCGACUACCAUGUGGGUGCCCACAAAAAUUCCACCUCUGAGUCCUCAACUGCUGACCCCGGGGUCAGGUCCAGAUUUUGAACAAAUCUCGCUAGAGAUUGAACAGAGCUGCGCCUGGAUCCCGCCACAGUGAGGAGACCUGAAGACCAGAGAAAACACAGCAAGCCCCUGGAUCCUCCUGGAAUCCCCGAUCCCUCUUGCUCCCUGGCAGAGUUUUCUAGUCCCUCUUACUUGAAGCAUGUCUUUCAGAGCCCGGCACCACCCAUCUUGAGUAUCUGGUGAGUUCUGUGGUCUGCAUGUCCAUGUUUGGGACAUUCUGGGAAGGGUGGCCCAGGCUGUGAUUUGCCAUCUACUGCAGGCUAUGGAUGGUAUUCAGAAGGGAGGGGAGAUGCUGUGUGCGUGUUCUGAAGGGUUUCCCACUAAACAGAUCAACCCUCUCCAUAACUAUUUGAUUUUUACUUUAUCUCCUCGUUGACUUCACAGUGUCAGUGCAGUUUGUGUAAACAUCUCUAUGGGGUGAUGCAUGCAGAUAAAUGUUUAUGUGAACAUAUAAAGUCUGCAUGUGUGGGUGAACACUCCACAUCAGGUCAUUGUCCAUCAUUACAUAUCUGUGGUGUCUGGCUCAUUCGUCUCGUUUUCUGUCAUUUUACCUACUUUUACCUGAAGUACAAUGACUAUUUAAUAACUAUUAAAUGUUUCAUUUCAGCUACACCUCUAUGGUAUUUUUUUCACCUCAUAUCAUACCUUCCUCCCUCACUGGACUUCAGUGUGGGACCUGCAGGUCUCAGGCCUUCUGGGAAGUCCCAGCUUUUCUUGAAUGUUUUCUCUCUCUGGCCAGCUCAGGCUGGAGCAGUGGGUGUUGGUGCCAUCCUGUGGCUAUAGGUGAUAAGCCGGCUGUUCUUCACUGACCUGGUCUUACCUUGAACCCUGGAGUUCUCACAUGCAUGGAUUUAAAUGCUGUGUCUUUCUAAGGGCACAUUAUGGCCAUUUUCCUUAUCUCCCUCCCAAGGGGCUGUUUGCUGUGUUUAUUGACUCCCUGUUUAAAAAACAUAUAUAUAUAUAUAUAUAUAGACGAAUUAGGUUGUACCCCAUAAAUUGCAUGUUUGAAAAAUAUUUCAAAGAAUAGUUUAUUUUUUUUUGCUGAUUUUUAUGUAUCUUCUAAAUUGUAUAUAUUUAUGGGGUAUAAAAUGAUGUUGUGAUUUUUCAAUACAGUGUGGAAUGAGAAUCAAAUUAACCUAUCCGUUACCUCAAGUACUUGACUUUUUUUGUGAUGAGAAGGCUGUUUAUCACUUUCACUCACCAGCUCCUGCUGUCUUCCAUGCUGGGGACAGGAAAGGCUCCACGCUUGACUUUCCCUCCUGUUUUCUUAUCUGCUGUCAACCCCUGAAUGUACCCUCCAGGAUUGCCUUCUAGACCUUCUACAUCUAGCUCGAUCAUUGUGCACCCACCUUCCUCCCAGGGACUGUCCUUAGGGAGUGACUUUAUGCACAAACUUCACAUGCUCUUCCUGCCUCCUUCAUCCCCAUAAGCCCCCAUCUCAGCCCCAUCUGAUUAUUUCUUCCCUGUCUCAUUUCCUGUUAUGCUGUUGGUUUUCUAACCUGAAGGGUAACUUCUUACUCCUUAGUUUUUUGCCUUAAUUUCUAAGUCAUAGGCUACUUUCAGGCUAAAAGUUUUCCUCCAGCCAUGGUUUUAGUCUCAUUCUAUAAGUCUUGCUAGGUAGUUUAUUCAUUGGAAAUUUUUUGUUUUUGAGACAGAGUCUCGCUCUGUCACCCAGGCUGUAGUACAGUGGUGCCAUCUCAGCUCACUGCAACCUCCGGUUCCCGGGCUCAAGCAGUUCUCUUUCCUCAGCCUCCUGAGUAGCUGGGAUUAUGGGUGCCUGCCACCACACCCAGCUAAUUUUUGUAUUUUUAGUAGAGACGGCAUUUCACCAUGUCAGCCAGGUUGGUCUCGAACUCUUGACCUCAAGUGAUCCGCCCACCUUGGCCUCCCAAAAUACUGGGAUUACAGGGGUGAGUCACCACACCCCACCCCUUGGCACUAUAUUUAAGUGAUGAUAUUUUUGGACACUGAGGUAGCCUCAUUCCACAGGUUUAGAUCUGAAGCAUUUUCACUAUUGCUUCUUUCCAUGUAUUUCCUGGUUUGCAGGUCAGUUUCUUCUUUUAAUUCAUCAUUGACACAGUGGUUUAUAUGGCUUUUAAUUUCAAAAGAUUUUUUAAAAUAUCUUUUUGCCGAUUUUUAUCUAUGUUAAUUUUAACUAGACAUGUUCCCUGGAAGGACAUCACUAGUUUUUUUUUUUUUUUUUUCACUCUGUUUAUAAUUUAGGUGGAUUUUCACAUCUCAAGCCAGCUAAGAGUAUGGGAAAUAGGACUCGUUAAAGCACAGAUAUCACACAAGUGAUUCAGAUUCACGAGGGUAAUCCAGAUGAAGGUAUAUCAUUGUACCUGGCCCGCAUCACUCAGUAACUGUCACCUUUGAUUUAUUGAUUUACUUGAGAUGGAGUUUGGUUCUGUCCCCGAGGCCGGAGUGCAAUGGCGUGAUCUCUGCUCACUACAACCUCUGCCUCCCAGGUUCAGAGUGAUUCUCCUGCCUCAGCCUCUUUAGCUGGGAUUACAGGCACCCACCAACAUGCCCAGCUAAUUUUUGUAUUUUUAGUAGAGAGGAGCUUUCACCAUAAUGGCCAGGCUGGUCUUGAACCUCAAAUGAUCUGCCCACCUUGGCCUCCCAAAGUGCUAGGAUUACAGGCUGGAGCUACAGAGCCCAGCCUGUCACCUUGAUUUAAAUGAAUGCAGCUUUCUUGGUGUCUUGAUGUUUGUGAAUUUCUGUGGAGUUUGAUACUGCUCCUUUUGCUGCUUGUUUUUCCAGAGUCCCCUUAUCACUUGACGUGCUGUUAUAUUAUGUUUGAUUUAUUACAGAUACCCCAUCAGCCUGAGUCUCUUAAAGGCCUUUAUACACAUAUGUCUACACAUAGGGAUUUGGAUGAUCUCGGGAUCCCACAUCCUCGCUGUCCCCUGUCCCCCCGCAACAUCCCCCACCAAUACCUUUCUGAAGUUUUCUAGUCCCUCCUUUUUGUUUGUGCUCCUUAAAGCCCAGCCCCAUGCCUGACUUUGGUUCCCAGUGAGCAUUGUACAUUUGUGGAUAUUAAAUCUUUGGCAAAGUCAUUUACCUGGG